RNAcentral lists this ribosomal RNA (460 nucleotides) under uncultured bacterium. Its description in RNAcentral is "partial 16S ribosomal RNA". It matches the Rfam family "Bacterial small subunit ribosomal RNA", at positions 338 to 795 of the family's 1533-position model. The record is from RNAcentral.
CCUACGGGGCGCAGCAGUGAGGAAUAUUGGUCAAUGGACGAGAGUCUGAACCAGCCAAGUAGCGUGAAGGAUGACUGCCCUAUGGGUUGUAAACUUCUUUUAUAUGGGAAUAAAAUGUUCCACGUGUGGGAUUUUGUAUGUACCAUAUGAAUAAGGAUCGGCUAACUCCGUGCCAGCAGCCGCGGUAAUACGGAGGAUCCGAGCGUUAUCCGGAUUUAUUGGGUUUAAAGGGAGCGUCGGUGGAUUGUUAAGUCAGUUGUGAAAGUUUGCGGCUCAACCGUAAAAUUGCAGUUGAAACUGGCAGUCGUGAGUACAGUAGAGGUGGGCGGAAUUCGUGGUGUAGCGGUGAAAUGCUUAGAUAUCACGAAGAACUCCGAUUGCGAAGGCAGCUCACUGGACUGCAACUGACACUGAGGCUCGAAAGUGUGGGUAUCAAACAGGAUUAGAUACCCUGGUAGUC